GACGAACGCUGGCGGCGUGCUUAACACAUGCAAGUCGAACGGAAAGGCCCUGCUUUUGUGGGGUGCUCGAGUGGCGAACGGGUGAGUAACACGUGAGUAACCUGCCCUUGACUUUGGGAUAACUUCAGGAAACUGGGGCUAAUACCGGAUAGGAGCUCCUGCUGCAUGGUGGGGGUUGGAAAGUUUCGGCGGUUGGGGAUGGACUCGCGGCUUAUCAGCUUGUUGGUGGGGUAGGGGCUUACCAAGGAUUUGCCCGGUAGCCGGCCUGACAGGGUGAACGGUCAGAUUGGUUCGGAGUGACGGCCGAGACUCAUACGGGAGGGAGGAGGGGGGAAUAUUGCACAAGGGGUGGAAGCAUGAUGCAGCAACGCCGGGCGCGGGAUGACGGCCUGCGGGUUGUAAGCCUCUUUCGCCUGUGACGAAGCGUGAGUGACGGUAAUGGGGAAAGAAGCACCGGCUAAUUACGU
This 467-nucleotide ribosomal RNA is filed under the name uncultured bacterium. Its description in RNAcentral is "partial 16S ribosomal RNA". It matches the Rfam family "Bacterial small subunit ribosomal RNA", at positions 28 to 506 of the family's 1533-position model. The record is from RNAcentral.